This 513-nucleotide ribosomal RNA is filed under the name uncultured bacterium. Its description in RNAcentral is "partial 16S ribosomal RNA". It matches the Rfam family "Bacterial small subunit ribosomal RNA", at positions 28 to 523 of the family's 1533-position model. The record is from RNAcentral.
GAUGAACGCUGGCGGCGUGCCUAAUACAUGCAAGUCGAGCGAACAGACGAGGAGCUUGCUCCUCUGACGUUAGCGGUGGACGGGUGAGUAACACGUGGAAAACCUACCUAUAAGACUGGGAUAACUUCGGGAAACCGGAGCUAAUACCGGAUAACAUGUUGAACCGCAUGGUUCAACAGUGAAAGACGGUCUUGCUGUCACUUAUAGAUGGAUCCGCGCCGCAUUAGCUAGUUGGUAAGGCAACGGCUUACCAAGGCAACGCAGCCUAGCCGACCUGAGAGGGUUGUCGGCCACACUGGAACUGAGAAACGGUCCAGACUCCUACGGGAGGCAGCAGUAGGGGAUCGUCCGCAAUGGGCGAAAGCCUGACGGAGCAACGCCGCGUGCGUGAAGAAGGUCUUCGGAUCGUAAAACUCUGUUAUUAGGGAAGAACAAAUGUGUAAGUAACUAUGCACGUCUUGACGGUACCUAAUCAGAAAGCCACGGCUAACUACGUGCCAGCCGCCGCCGUAA